Molecule: ribosomal RNA, 427 nt
Filed under: Cyrtognatha sp. 4 KC-2018
Lineage: Eukaryota; Metazoa; Arthropoda; Arachnida; Araneae; Tetragnathidae
Description: partial 28S ribosomal RNA
Rfam family: Eukaryotic large subunit ribosomal RNA
Source: RNAcentral
GAGGCGCAACGAAAGUGAUUGUCGGGAUCCCCUUUGUGGGGCGCACCGACNGCCUGUUCGUUCAUUCGAAUAGAGCSUGAGCAUACACGUUGGGACCCGAAAGAUGGUGAACUAUGCCCGGGCAGGACGAGGCCAGAGGAAACUCUGGUGGAGGUCCGCAGCGAUUCUGACGUGCAAAUCGAUCGUCAGACCUGCGUAUAGGGGCGAAAGACCAAUCGAACCAUCUAAUAGCUGGUUCCCUCCGAAGUUUCCCUCAAGAUAGCUGGCGCUCGUUNUUCAGUCUCGUCUGGUAAAGCGAAUGAUUARAGGUCUUGGGGUCGAAACGGCCUCAACCUAUUCUCAAACUUUAAAUGGGCGAGGAGUGCGGCCUUGCUUAANNUGAGGGCUGCNCGUUGGAUGNNANUGCCCAGNGGGCCAUUUUUGGUAA